This 72-nucleotide transfer RNA is filed under the name Candidatus Pacearchaeota archaeon. RNAcentral describes it as "tRNA-Thr". It matches the Rfam family "tRNA". Rfam says of the family: Transfer RNA (tRNA) molecules are approximately 80 nucleotides in length. Their secondary structure includes four short double-helical elements and three loops (D, anti-codon, and T loops). The record is from RNAcentral. Lineage: Archaea; Nanobdellati.
GCCCCAGUAGCUCAGAGGCAGAGCGAUUGAUUCGUAAUCAAUAGGUCGCAGGUUCAAAUCCUGUCUGGGGCU